Molecule: long non-coding RNA, 1407 nt
Organism: Peromyscus californicus insignis
Lineage: Eukaryota; Metazoa; Chordata; Mammalia; Rodentia; Cricetidae
Exons: 2
Source: RefSeq, a predicted model, not a curated record
GGAAGACUCAGCCUGAGUGCCAUGUAGAGCAGGAACCAGGAAGCUCCUCCCAUAAUGCACCAUGGGGAACAGAUCAUGCCACUCUGAACACAGAAGACAGACUCACCUCUGGCCUGCUAACCCCACCUGGGCUUCAGCCUUGUCCAUCCUUGAGAGCCUCAGAUCAGACUGCCUGACCCCACCCUCUAGGCUCCCACUCUGGUCUCCAGGGUCAGGCUGAGACCUGGUCAGGAAGGACUCUCACCUAUGCACUGCCUGUUCUUGAAGAAGGUCAGCGUCCCAUGCCAGGUGUCCAAGUGUACGCCAAUAAUGGAGCCCUGGCCGAAGCGUGACGAGAAGCUGGUCUUGUCCCCUUUGUGAUGGAGGAGUCCUGGAGCAGGAGAUGGUAUCACCAGUUCCUUGGGGAGGGCCCCAAAUCGCACACCAAGUCCCAAGAACCAUCAUGGUGGUUGUACAGUAUCAUGAGCAGGUGAGGAAGUGGCCAGCAACAGACCAACUCCAGGCCUGUGUGCUGGAAUAGGGGAGUAUAAUUCUACAAGGAGCCAGACACAAGAUGUUUUGUCAACCAAGGUUAACUUAGGCCCCUCAGAAGACAACCUGAACAGCUAUCCUGCCUGAAGGCAAGCCUUAUGCCCCAGAUAGAGCAGACCUUGUAUCCACUGGCAAAGAUGGCAUCCUCUAAAGCCAAGGCAAAUCCACUGAAUCAGGAGUCAGGGUUUAAGGUCAAUCUACCUAGGCCAGGAGGGAGGGACCAGGGACACCAGGAACUCACUGCCAUCUGACUACAUGGCACGGCAAACUCACCCCAUCACAGGCAUGAGUAUCACUGCUUCCACCCCUCAGUGAUGACUGUGAGGCAGGAACAGGCACACAGGCUGUUCCAGGGUACCCUGUCAUUGGGUGUAGCUGAAAAUCUGGGUUGACCCCUCAAGCUCAGAGGCCUCCAAGAACAGCAGGGACACUGCUGACCCAGUCAGUAAAUCCAUGGCUUCCAAGUUUCCUCACACCCUGGUGAUCCCAUGGGCUUAUAGAGGGGACUCUAUGUUGUAGGGAGCUAUGACAUCAGAGCAGAGGCAAUACAGGGCAGAGCCAGAAUACCAGUCCAGUAUAGCAAGACAAAUCAAGAGCCACCCUCAAGAUCCUAGUCAGGUGCCUUAAGCUGGUAUCUACCCUGUGUCCUACAUUCCUGGGCCUCCCUGUGCUCAGAAUCUACAGCAAAGCCGCUCUUAGAAAUUUGAACUUACAGAUUUAAAAAUUAAAAAAAAAUAAAAAGGUGUUUGUUGAUGACCUGAGUUUACCACAUAGAAGGAGAGAAGGAAGUCCUGCAAGUUGUCCUGACUGCCACAUGUUCGUCAUAGCACACAUGUGCCCACACACAGUAAAUAAACUGCCUCAAGUCCAAGGCCA